RNAcentral lists this ribosomal RNA (2417 nucleotides) under Enterococcus avium. RNAcentral describes it as "partial 23S ribosomal RNA". It matches the Rfam family "Bacterial large subunit ribosomal RNA", at positions 1 to 2431 of the family's 2925-position model. The record is from RNAcentral. Lineage: Bacteria; Bacillati; Bacillota; Bacilli; Lactobacillales; Enterococcaceae.
GGUUAAGUGAAUAAGGGCGCACGGUGGAUGCCUUGGCACUAGGAGCCGAUGAAGGACGGGACUAACACCGAUAUGCUUCGGGGAGCUGUAAGUAAGCUUUGAUCCGGAGAUUUCCGAAUGGGGAAACCCAGCAUCUUUUAUAGGAUGUUACUUUUCAGUGAAUACAUAGCUGAUUAGAGGUAGACGCAGAGAACUGAAACAUCUAAGUACCUGCAGGAAGAGAAAGAAAAAUCGAUUCCCUGAGUAGCGGCGAGCGAAACGGGAAAAGCCCAAACCAAGAGGCUUGCCUCUUGGGGUUGUAGGACUCCGAUAUGGUAGUCCAGUGAGAUAGUCGAAGGACCUGGAAAGGUCUGCUAGAAAGGGUAAAAGCCCCGUAGACAAAAUUUGACUGGCACCUAGGAGGAUCCUGAGUACGGCGGAACACGAGGAAUUCCGUCGGAAUCCGGGAGGACCAUCUCCCAAGGCUAAAUACUCCCUAGUGACCGAUAGUGAACCAGUACCGUGAGGGAAAGGUGAAAAGCACCCCGGAAGGGGAGUGAAAUAGAUCCUGAAACCGUGUGCCUACAACAAGUUAGAGCCCGUUAAUGGGUGAUAGCGUGCCUUUUGUAGAAUGAACCGGCGAGUUACGAUUACUUGCGAGGUUAAGUUGAAAAGACGGAGCCGCAGCGAAAGCGAGUCUGAAUAGGGCGAAUGAGUAAGUGGUCGUAGACCCGAAACCAUGUGAUCUACCCAUGUCCAGGUUGAAGGUGCGGUAAAACGCACUGGAGGACCGAACCCACGUACGUUGAAAAGUGCGGGGAUGAGGUGUGGGUAGCGGAGAAAUUCCAAACGAACUUGGAGAUAGCUGGUUCUCUCCGAAAUAGCUUUAGGGCUAGCCUCAGAGUAAGAAUGAUGGAGGUAGAGCACUGUUUGGACUAGGGGCCCAUCUCGGGUUACCGAAUUCAGAUAAACUCCGAAUGCCAUCCAUUCAUCUCUGGGAGUCAGACUGUGAGUGAUAAGAUCCAUAGUCGAAAGGGAAACAGCCCAGACCACCAGCUAAGGUCCCCAAAUAACUAUUAAGUGGAAAAGGAUGUGGGGUUGCACAGACAACUAGGAUGUUGGCUUAGAAGCAGCCACCAUUUAAAGAGUGCGUAAUAGCUCACUAGUCGAGUGACCCUGCGCCGAAAAUGUACCGGGGCUAAAUAGUUUACCGAAGCUGUGGAACACACCAAUGGUGUGUUGGUAGGAGAGCGUUCUAAGGGCGUUGAAGGUAGAUCGUGAGGACUGCUGGAGCGCUUAGAAGUGAGAAUGCCGGUAUGAGUAGCGAAAGACAGGUGAGAAUCCUGUCCACCGAAUGACUAAGGUUUCCUGGGGAAGGCUCGUCCGCCCAGGGUUAGUCGGGACCUAAGCCGAGGCCGAAAGGCGUAGGCGAUGGAUAACAGGUUGAUAUUCCUGUACCCGUUGUUUUUGUUUGAGCAAUGGAGGGACGCAGGAGGCUAAGGAAUCAGACGAUUGGAAAUGUCUGUCCAAGCAAUGAGUCUUGAUGUGAGUCAAAUGCUUACAUCUCUAAGGACAAGUUGUGAUGGGGAGGGAAAUAAUAGUACCGAAGUUCCUGAUGUCACACUGCCGAGAAAAGCUUCUAGUGAGAAAACAAUGGCCCGUACCGCAAACCGACACAGGUAGUCGAGGAGAGAAUCCUAAGGUGAGCGAGAGAACUCUCGUUAAGGAACUCGGCAAAAUGACCCCGUAACUUCGGGAGAAGGGGUGCUGAUCUAACGAUCAGCCGCAGUGAAUAGGCCCAAGCGACUGUUUAUCAAAAACACAGGUCUCUGCAAAAUCGAAAGAUGACGUAUAGGGGCUGACGCCUGCCCGGUGCUGGAAGGUUAAGAGGAGUGCUUAGCGUAAGCGAAGGUACGAAUUGAAGCCCCAGUAAACGGCGGCCGUAACUAUAACGGUCCUAAGGUAGCGAAAUUCCUUGUCGGGUAAGUUCCGACCCGCACGAAAGGCGUAACGAUUUGGGCACUGUCUCAACGAGAGACUCGGUGAAAUUUUAGUACCUGUGAAGAUGCAGGUUACCCGCGACAGGACGGAAAGACCCCAUGGAGCUUUACUGCAGUUUGAUAUUGAGUGUUUGUACCACAUGUACAGGAUAGGUAGGAGCCGUAGAAGUCGGGACGCUAGUUUCGACAGAGGCGCUGGUGGGAUACUACCCUUGUGUUAUGACCACUCUAACCCGCACCACUAAUCGUGGUGGGAGACAGUGUCAGAUGGGCAGUUUGACUGGGGCGGUCGCCUCCUAAAGAGUAACGGAGGCGCCCAAAGGUUCCCUCAGAAUGGUUGGAAAUCAUUCGCAGAGUGUAAAGGCACAAGGGAGCUUGACUGCGAGACCUACAAGUCGAGCAGGGACGAAAGUCGGGCUUAGUGAUCCGGUGGUUCCG